GACGAACGCUGGCGGCGUGCUUAACACAUGCAAGUCGAACGGAAAGGCCUGCUUUCCCUUGUGGAUUGCGGGUACUCGAGUGGCGAACGGGUGAGUAACACGUGAGUGAUCUGGCCCCAACUUGGGUAUAAGCCUGGGAAACUGGGUCUAAUUCCCGAUAGGACUGCAGGGUGGUGCCUGUGGUGGAAAACGAUUUUCUAGUGGUUGGGGAUGAGCUCGCGGCCUAUCAGCUUGUUGGUGGGGUAAUGGCCUACCAAGGCGGCGACGGGUAGCCGGCCUGAGAGGGUGGACGGCCACAUUGGGACUGAGAUACGGCCCAGACUCCUACGGGAGGCAGCAGUGGGGAAUAUUGCACAAUGGGCGGAAGCCUGAUGCAGCGACGCCGCGUGGGGGAUGACGGCCUUCGGGUUGUAAACUCCUUUCGACCGCGAGGAAGCCACCUGGUUGGAAGGGUGGUGACGGUAGUGGUAGAAGAAGCACCGGCUAACUACGUG
This 494-nucleotide ribosomal RNA is filed under the name uncultured bacterium. RNAcentral's name for it is "partial 16S ribosomal RNA". It matches the Rfam family "Bacterial small subunit ribosomal RNA", at positions 28 to 507 of the family's 1533-position model. The record is from RNAcentral.